UUCGCCCUUAGAGUUUGAUCCUGGCUCAGGACGAACGCUGGCGGCGUGCCUAACACAUGCAAGUCGAGCGGGGAUACAGGUCUUCGGAUUUGUAUUCUAGCGGCGGACGGGUGAGUAACGCGUGAGCAAUCUGUCACAUACAGGGGGAUAACAGCUGGAAACAGCUGCUAAUACCGCAUAAGACCACAAUGUCGCAUGACGAAGGGGUCAAAGGAGAGAUCCGGUAUGUGGUGAGCUCGCGUCCCAUUAGGUAGUUGGUGAGGUAACGGCCCACCAAGCCUGCGAUGGGUAGCCGACCUGAGAGGGUGAUCGGCCACACUGGAACUGAGACACGGUCCAGACUCCUACGGGAGGCAGCAGUGGGGAAUAUUGGGCAAUGGGCGAAAGCCUGACCCAGCAACGCCGCGUGAGGGAAGAAGGUUUUCGGAUUGUAAACCUCUGUCCUUGGUGACGAAGGAAGUGACGGUAGCCAAGGAGGAAGCCCCGGCUAACUACGUGCCAGCAGCCGCGGUAAUACGUAGGGGGCGAGCGUUGUCCGGAAUGACUGGGCGUAAAGGGCGCGUAGGCGGCCGCUUAAGUUAGGAGUGGAAGUCCUGCUUUCAAGGUGGGAAUUGCUUUUAAUACUGGGUGGCUUGAGUGCAGAAGAGGUAAGUGGAAUUCCCAGUGUAGCGGUGAAAUGCGUAGAGAUUGGGAAGAACACCAGUGGGCGAAGGCGACUUACUGGGCUGUAACUGACGCUGAGGCGCGAAAGCGUGGGGAGCAAACAGGAUUAGAUACCCUGGUAGUCCACGCGGUAAACGAUGAAUGCUAGGUGUAGGGGGUAUCGACCCCUCCUGUGCCGGAGUCAACACAAUAAGCAUUCCGCCUGGGGAGUACGGCCGCAAGGUUGAAACUCAAAGGAAUUGACGGGGGCCCGCACAAGCAGCGGAGCAUGUGGUUUAAUUCGACGCAACGCGAAGAACCUUACCAGGUCUUGACAUCGAUGUAAAGCAUGUAGAGAUACAUGUAACUCUUCGGAGGACAGAAGACAGGUGGUGCAUGGUUGUCGUCAGCUCGUGUCGUGAGAUGUUGGGUUAAGUCCCGCAACGAGCGCAACCCUUAUGAUCAGUUACUAACGGGUAGAGCCGAGGACUCUGAUAAGACUGCCGGGGACAACUCGGAGGAAGGUGGGGACGACGUCAAAUCAUCAUGCCCCUUAUGACCUGGGCUACACACGUGCUACAAUGGUGGUUACAAAGAGAAGCGACAUCGCAAGGUAGAGCGGAUCUCAAAAAAGCCAUCUCAGUUCGGACUGUGGGCUGCAACCCGCCCACACGAAGUUGGAGUUGCUAGUAAUCGCGGAUCAGAAUGCCGCGGUGAAUACGAUCCCGGGCCUUGCACACACCGCCCGUCA
RNAcentral lists this ribosomal RNA (1393 nucleotides) under uncultured bacterium. RNAcentral's name for it is "16S ribosomal RNA". It matches the Rfam family "Bacterial small subunit ribosomal RNA". The record is from RNAcentral.